UGCCAGCCGCCGCGGUAAUACGUAAGUGGCAAGCGUUGUCCGGAAUCACUGGGUGUAAAGCGCGUGUAGGCGGCCUGGUAAGUCUGAGGUGAAAUCCAUGGGCCUAACCCGUGAACUGCCUUGGAAACUGCCAAGCUUGAGGAGCAGAGGGGAAAGUGGAAUUUCGGGUGUAGCGGUGAAAUGCUUAGAUAUCCGAGAGAACACCGAUGGCGAAGGCAGCUUUCUGGCUGUUUCCUGACGCUGAGACGCGAAAGCUAGGGUAGCGAACGGGAUUAGAUA
This 279-nucleotide ribosomal RNA is filed under the name uncultured bacterium. RNAcentral describes it as "partial 16S ribosomal RNA". It matches the Rfam family "Bacterial small subunit ribosomal RNA", at positions 506 to 784 of the family's 1533-position model. The record is from RNAcentral.